ACAUUUCAUGACUCAAGUUCAAAUAUGCACAACAAACAAUCAAAUGAGAAGAUGGUAUCCGAUAAGUUUGCCAUUUACCACAUGAACACAUAAGACUCAUUAAUUCGGACAAUAUAACUAUUACCUUCCUUUCGGUCAAUCUUCCCAGUAAAUACUUGAAAUAACAAAGAGUCUCGAUCAAAAACUAAUAUGAAGGUUUCCUCAAGAGGGGAUAAUGUUUUGAAGUCAAAAUCAGAGACAAGCAACCUGGAAGAAGGUAAACUUAGAAGGGGUCAAAAUUUUUUGGGAAUUUAUUAAAUAUACCUCUUUUUAGCAUAUUAAUUGCAAUAAUACUAUCACAUUAAAAAUCUUACAGAUUUACGUUACUACCUACUUCUAUUAUGCAAAUAUACGGUCCCCUCCUUUCCACAGUUCCAUUCUUUACGCCUCUCUCGUCUCUCUUUCCCCGCUCCUUCCCCAAAUCUCUCUCGAUCUGAAUUAAAUUACGCUCUCUUUUUCUCUGCCUCUCUCCUUCAAUCUCUCUCAAUCGCUCCGAUGAAUUGGAUUUCAGAUUUCAGAGAACAAGCUCCGAACACCGAGAUCUCAAAGUCCGACAAGCCAAGCAUCUCCUUCUCCAUCUGCCCCCUUCUGAACGCACUCGCGACGCCGUCAUCUCCCGCCUCAUCGAAACCCUCUCCCCCUCCAUCCUCUCCCGAUGGGUGUGAUGGGUGUUGGAGUGUGGUUGAUUGUGUUGGGUUUGAGUAGAUCGAAGCAGAUUAAAAGACUAUGGGUUGAUGAUGGUGGUCAAUUGUGAUUCUACUAUUUUCAGUGAUGUUGGUGUCGACUGGAUUGCUCGAGAAACUUUUGUAAUCAUUUUUAUUAUCAAGAAUAUUUAUAUUCUAUCUGUUAAGCAAUCUGAAAACAAAGCGGCUAUUUGUUUAGCUCGAUUUUUGUUUCACACUUAGGUUGUAAUUGUCAGUUUGGGGGUUUGUCCCGACUGUGUUCUUAUGUUUUAUGUUCAAUAAAAUCUUACUGUUCGUCAAAAAAAAAAA
Molecule: long non-coding RNA, 1031 nt
Organism: Daucus carota subsp. sativus
Lineage: Eukaryota; Viridiplantae; Streptophyta; Magnoliopsida; Apiales; Apiaceae
Exons: 2
Source: RefSeq, a predicted model, not a curated record